RNAcentral lists this long non-coding RNA (1251 nucleotides) under Homo sapiens (human). Its description in RNAcentral is "HSALNT0120156". The record is from RNAcentral. Lineage: Eukaryota; Metazoa; Chordata; Mammalia; Primates; Hominidae.
GUAGGACUGAGUCACUAACCCUCCCUCUGGCGCCAAUAGCCACUCCUGCCCUUCCUCUUCCUUUCUGAACAAGAACUGACUGGUUCAAACGAACUACAAGGUUCAGUUGCACAUACGCCUUGCCUGGAGGUGGGAGGUGCGUGGAUAACUGGAGACAUUAUUAAAGAGGCUCAUGAGAAGAGGAUGGAGGUUGAUCCUGGUUUGGGAAGCUUCCAGCUUGGAAUGAUUACAAUAGAAAGAAGCUGUUCUCCUGAUUCUUCCUGAUGCUGACACACCUUCUCUUUUUAAAAACAAUAGCAUGGCACCUUUGAUUACUGUUAUAAAGUCCAGAGGUCUUCAGACUGGGGCACACCCACCCAGGGGGGUAUAUAAAGACUUUGUAAGGGGCACUUGGGCAUCGAAGUGUUGGGUUAUGUGUCCUCAACUUUCCUAUCGUCGAGUUCCUAAAACAGACUUGCAUAAGAACCUCUGGGCUGGGAGUUAUUUACCCUCUCCUACAUCUCUUCCUUUCUAUCAUCCUUUUGCUACUCUACAAAGGAAAGGCACCACCCUCCCCCAUCCCAAAUCUUACUAAAGUAUAUUGCCUGGGUGUAGAAACCUUUAUGAUAGCAAAGGGACAAUUUCAUUUCAUAAUACAUAUUUAUUAAAUACCUAAUAUAUACCAGGCACAGUUCUGGAUGAUGAGUUACUGCAGUGAACAUAACAGUAAAACAUUUCUGUCCUCAUGGGGCUUCCAUUUUAUCAGGAAGAGAUGGGCAAGAAGCAAAAAAGAUAUUAUCCAUGCUGCUUCUUUCAAUUAAGGCCCUAAAAUUUUCCCAUUAACCUGAUGAAGAAAUACAUUUCCGAAAAAUUUUCCUGGUUAUGUUUAGUAAUUAUCAAAACUUACAAAGUUACAUUAUUUUGAUCAGUUGUAUACUAGUAAUAAUUAUAAUGAAGACUCAAUCUAGCAAAAUUAAUACUUGGAAAAUCAUGGCAAUGGGAAAUUAAAUUUAAAUCACAAUUUAUAUAUGUAUUUUGAUUAUAGAGAAGUAUAAUAAUCAGUAAAAAGGCUUUAAGUAUAAAAAAUUACAUCAUAAGGCCGGGCGCGGUGGCUCAUGCCUGUAAUCCUAGCACUUUGGGAGGCCGAGGCAGGCGGAUCACGAGGUCAGUAGUUUGAGACCAGCCUGACCAACAUGGUGAAACCCCGUCUCUACUAAAAAUACAAAAAUUAGCCAGGCGUGGUGUCAUGCGCCUGUAAUCUCAGCUACUCAG